GGCAUCAUGGAGGGUGAGAGUCCCGUAUGUGACUGGUGACCAACCCCAGGUGAAACCCCUUCGACGAGUCGAGUUGUUUGGGAAUGCAGCUCAAAAUGGGUGGUAAAUUUCAUCUAAAGCUAAAUACCGGCCAGAGACCGAUAGCGCACAAGUAGAGUGAUCGAAAGAUGAAAAGCACUUUGGAAAGAGAGUCAAAAAGUACGUGAAAUUGUUGAAAGGGAAGCGCUUGCAACCAGACCUGUCCGCCGGCGAUCAACCCCCGUUCUUCGGGGGUGCACUCGUCGGUGAUCAGGCCAGCAUCGGUUCGGGCGGUCGGACAAAGGCCCUGGGAAUGUAGCUCCUUUCGGGGAGUCUUAUAGCCCUCGGUGCAAUGCGGCCAGCUGGGACCGAGGACCGCGCUUCGGCUAGGAUGCUGGCGUAAUGGUUGUCAGCGACCCGUCUUGAAACACGGACCAAGGAGUCUAACAUCUAUGCAAGUGUUUGGGUGUCAAACCCAUACGCGUAAUGAAAGUGAACGGAGGUGAGAACCCUUCAGGGCGCAUCAUCGACCGAUCCAGACGUCUUCGGAUGGAUUUGAGUACGAGCAUAGCUGUUGGGACCCGAAAGAUGGUGAACUAUGCCUGAAUAGGGUGAAGCCAGAGGAAACUCUGGUGGAGGCUCGCAGCGGU
Molecule: ribosomal RNA, 668 nt
Filed under: Protoparmelia atriseda
Lineage: Eukaryota; Fungi; Ascomycota; Lecanoromycetes; Lecanorales; Parmeliaceae
Description: eukaryotic LSU rRNA
Rfam family: Eukaryotic large subunit ribosomal RNA
Source: RNAcentral